GACGAACGCUGGCGGCGUGCUUAACACAUGCAAGUCGAACGGAAAGGCCCCCAUCUUGGUGGGGGUGCUCGAGUGGCGAACGGGUGAGUAACACGUGGGUGAUCUGCCCUGUACUUCGGGAUAAGCUUGGGAAACUGGGUCUAAUACCGGAUAGGACCAUGGUUUAGUGUCUCAUGGUGGAAAGAUUAUUGUUUUGGUGCAGGAUGAGCUCGCGGCCUAUCAGCUUGUUGGUGGGGUAAUGGCCUACCAAGGCGUCGACGGGUAGCCGGCCUGAGAGGGUGGACGGCCACAUUGGGACUGAGAUACGGCCCAGACUCCUACGGGAGGCAGCAGUGGGGAAUAUUACACAAUGGGCGCAAGCCUGAUGCAGCGACGCCGCGUGGGGGAUGACGGCCUUCGGGUUGUAAACUCCUUUCGUUAGGGACGAAGCCGCACUUUUUUUGGGUGUGGUGACGGUACCUUUGUGAAGAAGCACCGGCUAACUACGUG
Molecule: ribosomal RNA, 489 nt
Filed under: uncultured bacterium
Lineage: Bacteria
Description: partial 16S ribosomal RNA
Rfam family: Bacterial small subunit ribosomal RNA
Source: RNAcentral